RNA transcript from Hordeum vulgare subsp. vulgare (domesticated barley), 3620 nucleotides. It is a transcript of the gene named putative disease resistance protein RGA4, with no coding region annotated. The transcript has 3 exons. NCBI's taxonomy places the organism in Eukaryota, Viridiplantae, Streptophyta, Magnoliopsida, Poales, Poaceae. The record is from RefSeq and is a predicted model, not a curated record.
GAAGAUUGGUUUAUAAGGGAAUAUCCUAGUGUUUCUGACAGACCUCUGGCGCUGAGUUUGUCUGAUCCAUGGCUGCCAUACUUGAAACAUUGCUUAAAUCAAGUGUCAAUAAGUUGCAAGAUUUCAUUACGGAUGAGGCCAUACUAAUCCUAGGGGUGGAAAAAGAGCUUACAAAACUGCUGCGACGAGUGGAACUAAUUCAGUGUUGUAUAUACGAUGCUGAGAAAAGGAGGACAAAAGAGCAAGCAGUAAACAAUUGGCUUGGUCUACUGAGAGAUGUUAUAUAUGAUGUUGAUGAAACCUUGGAUGUGGCUAGAUGUAAAGGAAGCAAGCUACUUCCUGACCACCCAUCAUCAUCAUCAGGCAAAUCAUUUGCAUGCAAAUGCCUUUCAGUUUCCUCUUGUUUUUGCAACAUAGUGCCACGCCGUGAUGUUGCCGUUCGGAUAAGAAGCCUCAAUAAAAAGAUUGAGUGCAUUGCAAAUGACAAGAUAUUCUCAACUUUCAACAAUAGUACACAGCCUAUUGGAAAUGGUCAAACAUCCAGACUGAUAAGAAGUUCCAACCUUGUUGAACCCAACCUUGUGGGGAAGGAGAUUGUACAUUCUACCAGGAAGUUAGUGGACUUAGUUCUUGCACACAAGGAAUACAAGUCUUACAAGCUCGGUGUCAUUGGGACUGGAGGAGUUGGUAAGACAACACUAGCUCAAAAAAUAUACAAUGAUCAGAAAAUAAAAGGAAGCUUCAAGAUGCAUGCAUGGAUUUGUGUUUCACAAGACUACAAUGAAGUAACUCUUCUUAAAGAGGUUCUCCGGAAUAUUGGUGUGCAUCAUGAGCAAGGUGAAACCAUAACAGAGUUGCAGAGGAAGCUUGCAGAAACAAUUGAAGGGAAGAGUUUCUUUCUGAUUCUAGAUGAUGUGUGGCACUCCAAUGUAUGGACGGAUUUAUUAAGGCCUGCAUUACACGAAACAACAUCCGGAGUAAUAUUGGUAACCACACGAGAUGAUCAAAUUACAAGGAGAAUAGGUGUAGAGCAUACCCACCGUGUUGACCUCAUGUCAGCAGAGGUGGGAUGGGAGCUACUUUGGAAGAGCAUGAACAUUGAGGAAGAGAAAGAAGUGCGGAAUUUAAGAAACACAGGGAUUGAGAUUGUUCGUAAAUGCGGUCACCUCCCUCUUGCAAUCAAGGUUACCGCUAGUGCUUUGGCAAGCAAAGAUCUAACGGAGAAUGAGUGGGAAAAGUAUUUGGGCAAAUAUGCUGGUUCCCGGAGCAUGCUCUCUAAUGAAAUAGAAGGAGCUCUGUAUCUAAGCUAUGAUGAGUUGCCUGGUAAAGUUAUCUGAAACAGUGUUUCCUUUAUUGUGCUUUGUAUGCUGAAGAUUCUGUCAUUCAACGUGGUAAAGUUACCUGGUUAUGGAUUGCUGAAGGCUUCAUCGAGGAGCAGCAAGGUGAACUACUAGAAGACAUAGCAGAAGAGUACUACCACGAGCUAAUCCACCGGAAUCUCCUCCAACCAGAUAUCUCAUAUUUUGACAUGUCUCACUGCAAAAUGCAUGACCUCUUAAGACAGCUUGCACUGAACAUAUCAAGAGAGGAAUGUUUUAUUGGAGAUGUUGAAACAUUAAGGGGUGGAAAUAUGUCAAAACUACGACGUAUUACUUCUGUUAUUAAGAAGGAUAUGUUGGUGUUACCCAGAGUGGAUAAGGUGGAUGUUAAAGUAUGGACUUUCCUAACCGUUGAGGGUCCAUGGAGAAUUGAGGAUACAUUGUUCAAGAGAUUUCUGCUUCUUCGUGUUUUGGUACUGAAUUACUCACUUGUACAAAGCAUCCCAGACUAUAUAGGAAAACUGAUACAUCUACGUCUACUUAAUCUAGAUCAUACUGGCAUAUCUUGUCUUCCGGAAUCCAUUGGCUCCCUAAAGAACCUUCAAGUACUGAGCUUGAGAUGGUGUCAUGAUCUGCACACUCUCCCUUCGGCAAUGACCCUGUUGAUCAGCUUGCGAUGUCUUGAUCUUGAUGGCACCAAAAUAAUUGAGGUUCCAAAAGGGAUAGGGAAACUAAAGUUCCUCACUUAUGUAGAUGGUUAUCCUAUUGGUGAUGGAAGUGAUGAUAGUGUUGUACAAGAUGGAUGGAAGUUGGAAGAGUUGUCUUCUUUGUCACAGAUGAGGUAUCUUUCACUUGUUAAAUUGGAAAGAGUGACUCAUUGCAUUACAAGUGUGGUGCUGACAGACAAAAAACAUCUAAAAGUACUAAAGUGGACUGAACGUGGAGAGGGAUCAUAUUCAGAAGAAGAUGUCAGCAAUGCUGAGAAGGUCUUUGAGCAGCUAAUACCUCCACCUAACCUGGAAUACCUAUAUAUCAAACAAUUCUCUGGCCAGCGGUAUCCCACCUGGUUUGGUACCACCUAUUUGUCUUCAUUAAUACACUUCAUCCUCAUAGAUGUACGAUCAUGUGUGCAUCUUCCACCGAUUGGGCAGCUACCCAAGUUGAAAUUUCUGAAGAUUGAUGGAGCACAUGCAGUUACCAAGGUCGGGCCUGAAUUUGUUGGUUGUAAGAAGGGUGAUCAUGCAUGCAAUGAGUCGGUUGCUUUCCCUAAACUUGAAUGGUUGAUCUUCAAGGGUUCUUUUUUGAGGAAGAAGUUGUUGCUGCUGAUCCAAGGGGAGAGGAUGGAGCCGCUGUGAUUCAAAAGGAGGAUGCCCAAUCUUCAAGGUUGCAACUGCUGCCUCGUUUGGUGAAGUUGAAACUUGAUGAUUGCCCAAAGCUGAGAGCUCUCCCGCAACAGCUUGGAAAGGACACCGCCUGCUUAAUUAAGUUGCUCGGUUUAAGAGGGCUAAACAACUUGAAGGCCGUGGAGGACCGCCCACAGCUCUCUGAGCUCCUUGAUAUUGAGGAUCUGCAACCUCCCUCAAGUGACAGAACUGCGUGUAUAUGGUUGUCCGAACUUAAGCCAUGUAGAGGGGCUGGGCAGUUUGCAGCAGUUGUGGGUGGGCGAUGAUAUGCAAGAGGUCUCUUCCCGCUGGGUGCCUGGGCUUCAAGAGCAGCACCGGCGACUUCAUGGCGAAGACCUAGGUAUCUACACAUGGACCAGUUAGACGGCACAAGAGUUGAUAAUAUUGGUGAAUGGUGAAAGGUGAUGACAAGCACUUGUUCAAGGAGCUAUCUGUGGGAGGAAAAGCGUGAAGGAUAAGGGACAAGAUCUGUUCUCUGCAACUUAGCUGAAGAAGAACAAUAAGGAAAUUGCAGAAACUACUAGUACACUUCAGUGUGGUCUUCAGUGUGCCAAGAAAGUUAAUAGUGCAAUGCAGUGCUCUUCAGUGUGGUCUACUACCGUUUCUUUUCUGAACUUAAUUAUUGCGUGAUGGAGAUCUAUGAUACCCCUCUUGACGUGUUAUCGGCUUUUUAAUUACUUACGGAAACGUGACGCACUGCACUCUGUUUUAAGCUGAGCGUCCUGUCUGUUUUUGGCUACUGUUAGGCUUGGUGGUCGUUUAGUUGGGAGGAGAAAUUGGACAUACUUGGAUAGGUGUAAAGUUGUAUGUGAUCAAACUGAAAGAGAGGUGCAUCUCGUGUGUGCAGUACAUUAUUUUUUUUAUUCCCGCGCUGGCUUGUAUGUAAUCAAACCUUAAA